Molecule: long non-coding RNA, 788 nt
Organism: Pomacea canaliculata
Lineage: Eukaryota; Metazoa; Mollusca; Gastropoda; Architaenioglossa; Ampullariidae
Exons: 3
Source: RefSeq, a predicted model, not a curated record
CCACAUUCAGCUGUUUACUGCUAUUGGAUCAGAUUACCUUCGCACAACACUGCUUUUCAUUCAAGUCUAUGUUGAUGGUCCUCUACCAUAAAACCCAUAUCCAACAUAUAAAAUAACCACUUCAGAAUCUGUUAAACAACUUUUUCCCAAUUUACAUUAGCAGAUGGGCAUGAGUUUGUCAAUGUAAGGAUGUUUUUAGUUCUCAGAAAGGAAAAGAUUUCAUUUUCAGCUUUGGCAGAUGUUUGAUGCUGACCUGAUAUGGAAACAAGUACAAUAGUGCAUCUACACUUGCCUGAGAAUGCUGAUAUAAAUGAAACUACUUUUUCCAUAAUCAUUAUUGCUAUGCACAUUCAAUAAAACCAUGGUCACGUUGGAGAUUUUGCAUACAAAUGUAUGUUUGAACAUGUAUAAGCAUACACUGGCCGAUAUAUCUUCCCUCCUUCGUGAAGUGAAUGUUAUCGCCCGUGCGAGGGAAGGUAAGAGUACACGCGGUGGGGACUGCUAGCGGGCAGUCAUCUGCAAUUGCUACCCGGACAUUAUCAGGGUAAAGAUCACAGGCACUGUUGACUAGCCUGGCAAUAAAAUAUCUUCUUCACCCGACCAACUUGCUGUAGGGUCUGAGAGCUGAGGUGACACGACUUCUAUUGCGAUCCUUGGCAACAACACUAGUCUGAUCAAUGGUAUUGCAGGGUAUGCUACAGAUUCAUUUGUGGCAGGACUAGAUGCAACCCAGCAUUCAGCCUCAGGGAGUGAAGAAGUGACCGAGGAAAUAACUCAAAACGUGCGAG